Molecule: long non-coding RNA, 1240 nt
Filed under: Cricetulus griseus (Chinese hamster)
Lineage: Eukaryota; Metazoa; Chordata; Mammalia; Rodentia; Cricetidae
Description: lncRNA (ENSCGRG00015034261.1)
Source: RNAcentral
CACCAGCUAACUUUCGAUUGGCUCCUUGUCACGAGACAGGCAUCUGACUUUCUAGUGUCUGGAACAAGGUCAUGGAAGCACAUGUUCGACCAUUAUGGCUGCCGAAAGGAAAGCUGGUUCCUUCAGCUGACAGCCUUGUGGGGGAUUCUGCCCUCCCUGGCCAGCAGUGCUCUGAAUGUCCUCCACACACGGCAGGUGAUGCCACCUGAGCUGCUCUUUCCAGCCACAGACAGUCCCUUCAGGUGACUUCCCUAUGAACUUUAUGAACUACAGUAUUGUCGGUGGGAAUACCACAGAAUACCAGCCACAAACACUUCUUGCCAGAAGUGACAAGAAAUCCAGCUGCAUGCUCCCCCCCCCCCCCCGUGUCUGUCACUCUACCUAUGCCCUUUGAUAGUAAGCUUUGUCUGUCACCUUAUCCCAAGUGUCCAUUCAGUUCCUCCUCAAGGCACGAGUGUGCAGCUGGCCAGCCCCCCUCCUGUUCCCACAAGAGCUGCUGGGCAGAGCUUCUGAAAAUGCUCUCACCGUUCCCCUACAGCAAGCAGGUGCUCCAAUAGGACAAGGAAAAUGGAAUUGACCGUGUGCAACGUCUGCCAACUUAACCAGGAAGUGGCCCCCAAGCAAAUUACGUGCAAGUCCACUGAGGGAGUUGAGCCCACGAAGGUGGGCGUAUGUGCACUGGAAGAAGGCAACCCUGCCUGCCUCUUCUGCCCAUGAUUGGACCGACGGGAGGAGUUCAAGCAUUUGCUUAUGCACAGUCCGGGUGCCUGUUGAGUCUGUGAACUUCCAGAAGCACCCAGCAUCUUCUGGGGUACAGCAGGCUAAGCGCCUGGCCUGGAGAGGCUGCCCACAUGGUCUAGCCGAAGAGGGCACCAGCUGGAGCUGGAUGCUAGCAGAGCCAGGUAGCCUGCUGCUUCUUCAUCACACUGCCAAAAGAGAAGCCUGGGCAAUGAGAGACCUGUGUGGCCAUCCCCCUCACCAGCACACGCUCCAAGUCCUUAGUGCCUGUCCAUGUUAAGGUGAAGCCUCAGUCUCAGGCUGCAACCCAAGAUGUGCAGCACAGCCUAAACUACUCUCUCUGUUUUGGGUUAAUCAAGAAGGCCGAUGGUGGCGCAUGCCUUUAAUCCCAGCACUUGGGAGGCAGAGGCAGAUGGAUCUCUGUGAGUUUGAGGCCAGCCUGGUCUCCAGAGGGAGUGCCAGCCAGGAUAGGCUCCAAGCUACACAGAGAAACCCUGUCUCG